AAUGUGUGUGUGUGUGUGUGUUAUGUAUGUAUGUGUGUGUAUGCACUAUUGGCUGCAUUUGAUGAGCGAUAAUUAAACCAUUAAGGUCUCAGCCCUAAUGUUAAUCACAUUAAAAUCCUCUUCUCUAUAUCUGUCUACCUUUCUAGUUAUCCUUCUGUCUCUAUCAAACUUUGUGUCAGUUUCUCGACCUGUCACCCCCAUCGACUCACUUUCUAUCUCCAUAGUCCAUUAACACUCACAUAUACAUACAGACAAACGUGUGUAUAACAUAAUAAUGUAGAUCAGGACGAUGAUGAUGAUGGUGAUGAUAUCAUUAAAAUUGAUGAAUUUUUUUUUAUUUUUUUAAAUACGUUAAAAUCUUGAAAAAUAAUUCCCUCCAACCCAAAUAGAACUUUGCAUCUCCUCGUGUGCACGUGUAUGUAUACACACACACACAUAUACACACAUAACUGGCAUGACUGGCAUACAGCUUAUUUCUUGUAAGGCCCAGAAGGGUCAGAGGUGAAUCUGAAAAACUCAUAUCGCUUCCAAAAAUUCAACACCUACCCACCUACCUUAUCACCAACCACUAACCCAAUCCACCCGACUCCCGAUUCCCCAAAUAUUAUGCCAUUCACACACACAUGUAUAUGUGUGUAUAUAUAUAUAUAUAUAUGUAUGUAU
Octopus sinensis (East Asian common octopus) is the source of this 663-nucleotide long non-coding RNA. RefSeq lists it as uncharacterized. NCBI's taxonomy places the organism in Eukaryota, Metazoa, Mollusca, Cephalopoda, Octopoda, Octopodidae. The transcript has 3 exons. The record is from RefSeq and is a predicted model, not a curated record.